This is a long non-coding RNA of Populus euphratica (Euphrates poplar), 1495 nucleotides long. RefSeq lists it as uncharacterized. The record is from RefSeq and is a predicted model, not a curated record. Lineage: Eukaryota; Viridiplantae; Streptophyta; Magnoliopsida; Malpighiales; Salicaceae. The transcript has 2 exons.
GGCCCCUAGAUGAGGUAGAACAGAAAGGCCCAUACGUAGCGGCUGCAACGGCCCCCGGGGGUUCUAGGAUUAGGGUUUUCCGUGCCCCUCCCUCGUAACUCUUAGCUAUAUAUAACAAGAGAGGCAGCAGAACUAGAAGCAGCAGCGGGGCUAACGCUUUCUGCAUCUUCUUUUAGGGUUUCGCAUGCAUGCUGUUUGAUUGUGUUUGUUAAUAUGAAUGAAGUAAAGCCUGAUAUUGCAAUUCUUUGGUCUUAAUGAAUAGAUUAUUGGCCAAAGAAUCUAUCGUUAGGCAAUAGUGAUGUAUAUCUGUAUGUAUAUACAUGCAUGCAUUUUCUACCUUUAGCUCCGACUGUCCUUUUUUUCUCUUGAAGAAAUUGUUUUUAGGGUUUGUUGGUGACAAGGUAGAUACAUCUUAUUAUAUUUUGAUCUUGUUCUCCUCUUUUCUUCUUUGAUCUGUCUCAAAUUUUAAAAUUUGGUGUGAUGAUGAUGAUGGAUGAUUUAUUGAUUGAUGGAUGAUGAUAAAAAUCAGACGGAUUCCCACUGAUUUAUCCUAUGAUUACACAACCAGCUACUUCUGACACGAUCUCAUCUUCAUCAUCAUCAUCUUCAAGCACUUUUUUCUGUUUUUAAUUAUUAUGAUUAUUAUUAGCAUUUUUCUUUGGGGGCCGGUGAUGUAAUAAAAUAUUUGCUACUCUUGAUGGAGUUAUAUAUAACUCCAUUUGAUGAUUCCUAACCACCAAGAUCUCUGAGGCCCUGAUCUGUUUUUCUGUUAAUCUUAAAUACUGAAACUGGCUGAUUUUACUUGAUUUUGAUUUUUGAUUGUUCAUCCAAGGGUGGUUUUGGGCUAAUCUUGCCAAGGGCUGACGACGAAGAAGAGGGGGAAGAAGGUUGUAGGGAUGGAUAACCAGAGGAAAGGAAUCAAUGCUAGGUUCCUGAAUAUUGUCCUCGGCAGCCAGAUCAGUCGUACGAAUCCAUAAUUUAAGGUUCUAGCUCCCAAAAUAAAAGGCUCCCGCACAAUUUAGUUUGGCUUCCCUAGAAUUGGACUGGAAUGGUUUUAUUUUCAUCAUUUAGUGGAUGGAAAUUAGCAUCUUAAUCCUGGGGUUCAUGCAUACAGAUAUACGAAGUUAGCUUGUUACCAUGGAGCAGCUACACGACUGCCUUGCAACAAAACAAGGAGACUUGACAACCCAAAUGGAGCUCGAGCGUUCGAAAACUUGAUUCACCAAAAUGAAGUAAAAAGAACAGAAACAAAAACUACCAAGAACUUGACAAGAAAACAUGGACUGGAAAUCGAAAUAUAGAAACCAAAAACGAAAUGGGUAUUGCUAGAAACUUACCGAGGGUCGGCUUCAAAUGCGUUAUGGAGAGCUUCACUGAUUACAGAACAAAGACCCAUUGAUUUACCUGUGUGUUGUGACUGCUUUUGUUCUCAUCGUUGCUGUUGAAUAACGUUAAUGCCUUGACAAGUUGAGAAUUCAACGUUGCUUUGCAAACA